GUGAGAAAUUGAUGAACCAAACUAAAAACUACUACGCAAUUACGAUAAAACAAUUAAAGCUUAUGUGCAUCAAAUAUUUGAUUCGAUUCAAUAGUAGAGAAAAGACAGAGUUAUAUAUGUAUACCCACAUAAUGGUGCAUAUAUGAAAGUGCAACAAAAAACUGACCCUGCCAACAAAAAUUGCAACAAAAACUAUGCACAUGCGCAGCACCAACCUAGCUGGAUGCAGGCAAAACAAAAUGCUAUUUUCCGAAUGUAUUUGGUGAAAAUUAACAUGCAGGCCCCAACCACCCUUAAACCGUGAAGAAAACGAGAAAAAAAACAACACAAAAAGCAUAAACACGCAACCAACAAAGAACCAACGAGUUGUCGAGCAACGAACUGUGCGGCAAAACUAUAACAAGAACAAGCACCAGCGAAAACUACAUUAAAAUAGUGGCUGAGGACGCCACCAACUACAAACAGACAUACAUUUGUACUACGCGUACGGCAAGGACUUUUCUACAACUACGGAGGCAACGCGGUGCAGCGCUCUACACUAUUUGCCUUCGUCACUACUAUUUACCGUUAAGUUAACGCUGGCGUACCAAAAAUGGACGCUCGUUUCGGCAACUCGUUGCACUAUUCGUUGUUAGUUUAAAAAAUUUCGUGACUUCGUAAAUACGGUGCACCGUUCGUGCAAGUACUGUGAUGACUCGUACAUUGCCGAGGACAAGGCCUCGGUGAAUGCAACUACUGUGUACCCGUUUGCCGUGUGCGAAAAAGGAUGGCCUCAAAGGAUAAUAGUUCAAGUGCAAAGAGGAUGCCGUCAACGAACGGAAAUACAUUUAUGUGCAUACCCAAGUAUAUAUACCAACACAUAUAAAUAUAUAAAUUUAUAUAUUGUUAAAGUUGAACAUAUAAAGGCUUUGGAUUUAUGCAUUGACUUGCAUAUGUAUGCAGUUUGGUUUGUGUGUUUUUGCACUCACAUUUGUGCAGCGUUUGAGUAAGGCUGAGUCUCCAUCAAUGCAGCCCCCACAUUUAUAUACCAGUACUAUUGCUUUUGUGUGCAUAUUGUGGGGGUGCAAGCGCCGUCAAAAUUCUACUGAAAAUAUGCUCGAAUAUAUGGUGGAAAGGAACGAAACACUAAUUAAAUAAUAUCAGCAUAACAAUGCACAAAACAAUAAGGCCAUGUUGAGCAAAACAAAAAGCGGAAGACAUUAAUGAGGUUUUUAAAUUAGGAUACUGUUCAUAGAUGUGGUUCACUGAAUUGUCUCAGAUUUGCAUAAAUUAAGAAG
Molecule: long non-coding RNA, 1277 nt
Organism: Bactrocera latifrons
Lineage: Eukaryota; Metazoa; Arthropoda; Insecta; Diptera; Tephritidae
Exons: 3
Source: RefSeq, a predicted model, not a curated record